Molecule: ribosomal RNA, 401 nt
Filed under: uncultured anaerobic ammonium-oxidizing bacterium
Lineage: Bacteria
Description: bacterial SSU rRNA
Rfam family: Bacterial small subunit ribosomal RNA
Source: RNAcentral
UUUCGCAAUGCCCGAAAGGGUGACGAAGCGACGCCGCGUGAGUGAGGAAGGCCCUCGGGUUGUAAAGCUCUGUCAGGAGUUAAGAAAUAUAAGUGUGCUAAUACCGCAUUUAUUUGACGAAGGCUCCAAAGGAAGCCACGGCUAACUCUGUGCCAGCAGCCGCGGUAAUACAGAGGUGGCAAGCGUUGUUCGGAAUUAUUGGGCGUAAAGAGCACGUAGGUGGGUUUGUAAGUCAGAUGUGAGAGCCUUCUGUUCAACGGAAGAAUUGCAUCUGAAACUGCGAGUCUUGAGUGUAGGAGGGGAGAAUGGAACUUCUGGUGGAGCGGUGAAAUGCGUAGAUAUCAGAAGGAACGCCGGCGGCGAAAGCGAUUCUCUGGCCUAUUACUGACACUCAGUGUGAA